UACGAAGGGGGCUAGCGUUGCUCGGAAUCACUGGGCGUAAAGCGCACGUAGGCGGGUUGUUAAGUCGGGGGUGAAAUCCUGGAGCUCAACUCCAGAACUGCCUUCGAUACUGGCGACCUUGAGUCCGGGAGAGGUGAGUGGAACUCCGAGUGUAGAGGUGAAAUUCGUAGAUAUUCGGAAGAAUACCAGUGGCGAAGGCGGCUCACUGGCCCGGUACUGACGCUGAGGUGCGAAAGCCAGGGGAGCAAACGGG
This 253-nucleotide ribosomal RNA is filed under the name uncultured bacterium. RNAcentral's name for it is "partial 16S ribosomal RNA". It matches the Rfam family "Bacterial small subunit ribosomal RNA", at positions 524 to 776 of the family's 1533-position model. The record is from RNAcentral.